RNAcentral lists this transfer RNA (67 nucleotides) under Rhabdoblatta similsinuata. RNAcentral's name for it is "tRNA-Phe". Lineage: Eukaryota; Metazoa; Arthropoda; Insecta; Blattodea; Blaberidae. The record is from RNAcentral.
AUUUAAAUAGCUUAAUAAAGAGUAUAACAUUGAAGAUGUUAGGGUGAUUAAAUAGAAUCUUUAAAUA